UUCUCUCUCUACAAGUUCCUGGCAACCACUAAUGUACUUCCUGUCUCUGUGAGUUACUUAUGCUGGACAUUUCAUAUACAGAGAGGAAAUUGGACUCGAAUAGGUGGAGUAAAUUGACCCCUCUUCAGUAACAAGCAAGAGAGGACAACAGGUUUUGAACCCAGUUUCCCUUAUAAGAUGUCCAGUAUGUUUCUUGGUGGUUGGAAGGAACUGAUACAAAGAGAUUCCUGAAGAAGUUGUCAUUCAAGUGCAAAAAAAGUCACCUUGACAUCUAAAAAUUAAACUUGUAAGCUAUUAAACAAGAAUGAUUUACUCUGUACUUAAUACAAUUGUACUUACAUACAUUUUUAGGUGAUUUUUGAUAUCAAAGAGGCAUAUAUCUCUUUAAAGAAGUCAAGAAUAUUGUUAAGCUAGGUGUCUGUAAGCU
Molecule: long non-coding RNA, 427 nt
Filed under: Callithrix jacchus (white-tufted-ear marmoset)
Lineage: Eukaryota; Metazoa; Chordata; Mammalia; Primates; Cebidae
Description: lncRNA (ENSCJAG00000074083.1)
Source: RNAcentral